RNAcentral lists this unclassified non-coding RNA (395 nucleotides) under Hevea brasiliensis (rubber tree). Lineage: Eukaryota; Viridiplantae; Streptophyta; Magnoliopsida; Malpighiales; Euphorbiaceae. The record is from RNAcentral.
AGUUGGUGAAUGCUAAUCUGGAAAAUAACACCUCAAUCGGUACAAUACUCUUUUCACAUCUGUGUGGAUUAUGCAAAUUUACAAACAGUCAACUUAAGGUGAAACAAAAAGUGUACAGCAUAAACCAACAGACAACAAAUCUUCACUCCUAGAAACAAGUAUUAGUUAUAGAGACCUAAAAGCUCCAUGGAUGCCAAAUGUUAAAUCUCUAGUUAUUUGAUCUUUCCAGAUGAUAUAGCUCUCAUUCUAAAUAAACAAUUAGCAGCCACUCUUAGCUUAUCAAUCAAACAACAUGAAAUAGGAUUACAACCACUAAAAUAAAUAGGGAAAUAAGAGCUUGUUUGGUUCAAUCCCAAAAACACAAAAUUUUAUAGAAUUCAAUUGAAUUCCAUGUU